This 707-nucleotide ribosomal RNA is filed under the name uncultured bacterium. RNAcentral describes it as "bacterial SSU rRNA". It matches the Rfam family "Bacterial small subunit ribosomal RNA", at positions 1 to 719 of the family's 1533-position model. The record is from RNAcentral.
CCCUUAGAGUUUGAUCCUGGCUCAAAAUCAACGCUGGCGGCGUGCCUCAGACAUGCAAGUCGAACGAUUAAACUUCCCUUCGGGGAAGAUAUAAAGUGGCGCACGGGUGAGUAACACGUAGGUAAUCUACCUUUGAGUGGGGAAUAACAAUCGGAAACGAUUGCUAAUACCGCAUAAUGCAGCGGCACCGCAAGGUGACAGUUGUUAAAGGAGCAAUCCGCUUAAAGAGGAGCCUGCGGCAAAUUAGCUUGUUGGUAAGGUAAUGGCUUACCAAGGCUACGAUCUGUAACCGACCUGAGAGGGUGGUCGGUCACACUGACACUGAAUAACGGGUCACACUCCUACGGGAGGCAGCAGUCGGGAAUUUUGGGCAAUGGGCGAAAGCCUGACCCAGCAACGCCGCGUGAAGGAUGAAGUCUUUCGGGAUGUAAACUUCGUAAGAAUGGAAAGAAUAAAUGACGGUACCAUUUGUAAGGUCCGGCUAACUACGUGCCAGCAGCCGCGGUAAUACGUAGGGACCAAGCGUUGUUCGGAUUUACUGGGCGUAAAGGGCGCGUAGGCGGCAAAUCAAGUCAGCUGUGAAAUCUCCGAGCUUAACUCGGAACGGUCAGCUGAUACUGUUUUUGCUAGAGUGCAGAAAGGGCAACCGGUAUUUCUUGGGUGUAGCGGUGAAAUGCGUAUAUAUCAAGAAGAACACCUGAGGCGAA